RNAcentral lists this ribosomal RNA (903 nucleotides) under uncultured bacterium. RNAcentral's name for it is "bacterial SSU rRNA". It matches the Rfam family "Bacterial small subunit ribosomal RNA", at positions 28 to 948 of the family's 1533-position model. The record is from RNAcentral.
GAUGAACGCUGGCGGAAUGCUUAACACAUGCAAGUCUACUUGAAAGUUCCUUCGGGAGCGAGUAGGGUGGCGGACGGGUGAGUAACGCGUGAAAAACCUGCCCUGUAGAUUGGGAUAACUCCUCGAAAGAGGAGCUAAAACCAAAUACGCUCUAGACAAGGCAUCUUGAUUAGAGGAAACGCUAUAUGCGCUAUAGGAGGGUUUCGCGUUCCAUUAGCUAGUUGGUAGGGUAGUGGCCUACCAAGGCUUCGAUGGAUAGCCGGCCUUAACGGGUGACCGGCCACAAGGGAACUGAGACACGGUCCUUACUCCUACGGGAGGCAGCAGUGGGGAAUAUUGGACAAUGGGCUAUGGCCUGAUCCAGCAAUUCCGCGUGGAUGAUGAAGGCCUUCGGGUUGUAAAAUCCUUUCAGCAGGGAAGAAAAAAAUGACGGUACCUGCAUAAGAAGCCACGGCUAAUUACGUGCCAGCAGCCGCGGUAAGACGUAAGUGGCAAGCGUUAUUCGGAAUUACUAGGCGUAAAGGGCAUCUAGGCGGCUGUACAAGUCAGGGGUGAAAAUUUGUGGCUCAACCAUAAACCUGCCUUUGAGACUGUAUGGCUAGAGUUCAGGAGAGGAGGGCGGAACUACAAGUGUAGCGGUGAAAUGCGUAGAUAUUUGUAGGAAUGCCAAUGACGAAGGUAGCUCUCUGGACUGUAACUGACGCUGAAGUGCGAAAGCUAGGGGAGCAAACAGGAUUAGAUACCCUGGUAGUCCUAGCUGUAAACGAUGGAUACUGGGUGUGGGAUGUCACAGUUCCGUGCCGGAGUAAACGCAUUAAGUAUCCCACCUGGGGAGUACGUUCGCAAGAAUGAAACUCAAAGGAAUUGACGGGGACCCGCACAAGCGGUGGAGCAUGUGGUUUA